CAUUUGAGCUUUUCAAUUUGCAUUCUUUAGAGUCCCUGGGCAAUAGUGGGAUGCGAAGUCUUGUUAUACUAUUGGCUUUAUUAUCCAGCCCAUGAUUCACUGGAAAAUGUUGCAAUGACCUCUUGCACCAGCAACUAAUUCUUCUAAAAGAUGAAAGUUAUUUCUUCUCCUGGCACAGAUAUCAGAAUCUGCCUUCAAAGAAUGAUAUGGCAUUAAUAGUACAAGCUGCCCAACACUUCUAAAGGAGUAAAAGCAGCAAGACCAUUUUUUUCAAGUGUAUACACAAGCCAGCUGUAUUUUUUUUUAUCCUGUGCUUCAGAGGCAGAACAGUUUCCUCCUGCUACUCAGACAUAGCACAUGUUAGCAAUAAGUGAAUCAUAUUUAAGAUGGAGAAGAGAAGAAAAACAACUCUGACCGGAAGAUCGACCCAACUCCCAAAUCAAAAUUAAUCUACAAAAAACUUGGAUUCAUUCAGAAAACCUUUCACAACUAUGCUGGCUGCUCUUAACACAGAAGUGCGCAAGUACUUAUUCCGCUCUGUAUUGUGGACAGUAAAUGACCACUUGGAUAGAGAAGUGCUGUUUCUGCUGCCAUGAACAUUACUGUCUUCUAACUCGCUUCUGAACUACACUGCUGAGAUUACUUCUCCUGGAUGUUUUUGCUAUAUACCUGUUCCAGAAUGUCACCUUUAUUUCUGUGAAUUUCUGGUAAAAAUUAAUUAAUCUACGCAAGUUCAUUAGACAGUCAUAAUACCAAAUGAGGAGGUGAAGCAUCUGCACGUAUCCAUCAUUUUGACGUGAAAUGAUCUCCCUGUUACCAACUUUGCAAAGAGCUACAAAUCAAGUAGGCUCGUACUCUCAGCAUUCAUGAUUAUUAACCAGUUUGGAAGCCUUUAAACAUGCACGUCACAAGGACAGGAAGACUAAGAGGAUUUCCAGCUGAGCUAAAAUCCAAGUGGUCUGUCCAUAGGACUGAGUUGUGCAUAUGAAUUAUCUCAGUGACUUUACCAGGGUUUAUUCAUGUGCACAAAGCUGUUCACAGAACAAGAACAUUUGCACAUCUCGAGCCACAGUUACUUCUUCCCUACAGGGGAAUUAUAAAAAAGUUCAUAACCUUAACUGUGGCUGUACAGUGUGCCAAAAGCAAUGUGUUAUUUGCACACUGAUCGAUAAUAAUAAAUCAUAACAAGAAAAUCAAUUGUUUCUCUGAAUCAGGAUUAAGAACAUGAAAUAUUUGCAAAAAAAGCCACAAGCAGGGAAGAAAUGCUAACAGCAUAAGCAGAUGAACAAAUUAACACCAAGUAUUAUAAUGUCCUUCCCAGUUUCUAAUAGGAAGCAAAUAAAGUUAGAGAAAUAAUACAGGAACAACUUUUUCUGUCUCAAGUCUCUUCAGUAUUUAAAUUAGACUCAUAAGUUAAAUUAGAAAUGUUCUAUACUAGCUGGUGUUAAAAUCUAAUACUGUUUGCUGGUCAUAUGAAUGUAUUACCCAAUUCCAUUUGCAGCUUCACCAGUGGUCAUUAGUUUGUUUUAGGCAUACACUGUGGGAUUUUUACAUUAAAGCUAUUUAAAACAUAUACCUUUCCCUAUAAAGUUCAACAACUGAAAUAGUAUUUUGUAAGUACAACCUGCUGGAAUUACUUUUAACAUUAAUAUCCAGAAAAUUUACAAGCAUUUUUGUAAAAUUAUGGAGUUAUAAUUAACAAAAAUGAGACUAGACUAGUCAUUGUUUUGGGGAGAGAGUAUACUUGUACAUUUAAAUUUUAUCAGCAGUGUUCUAGUAUCUGCUCCUACUCCCUGUGUCUCUGCUUUGAUCAGAUUAUUGACAAAUGGCUUGUCAUUCUAACUGUUUUUUUCCAUUUAAAAUGAUAAACGAGAGAAAAAAAAUACAAAUAUUACUACAGUAUAGACUGUCUUGAGAACACUUGGCAAUAUGACUUAUGACAGUACAGUAUUCAGUGUACAAACUGUCUAGUUUUGAAAAGGCUUCAUAUAUACAUCGCCUCAAAUAUCCGGUGAAUAAACUACUCAUUAGAAAAUCACGUAAGGGUAUGUAGCUAUUUAAAAAAAUAGACACUGCAAGGUCUAGAUGGCAGUUGGUUUCCACUGAGAGCUCCAGAAUAUUGUGUAAGAACAGUCUGCAACAAUACAAGAUGAUCAUGUGAAAAAUCCCUAGGCAACCUCUGCUUGCUAGCAUAGCUUCCUCCCAUAUAUGUUGCUGAUUUUUUUUGAUGAUUGGGAAAGUUUAAGUACUUGUUUAUAAUCAAGAUUUUAAAAAAUAAACACAAAGAUGUAUUUUAUUUGCUUGGC
Molecule: non-coding RNA, 2306 nt
Organism: Coturnix japonica (Japanese quail)
Lineage: Eukaryota; Metazoa; Chordata; Aves; Galliformes; Phasianidae
Source: RefSeq, a predicted model, not a curated record